Neofelis nebulosa (Clouded leopard) is the source of this 2293-nucleotide long non-coding RNA. RefSeq lists it as uncharacterized. The transcript has 11 exons. The record is from RefSeq and is a predicted model, not a curated record. NCBI's taxonomy places the organism in Eukaryota, Metazoa, Chordata, Mammalia, Carnivora, Felidae.
GUUGACUCUGUGGGCCUCCAUCCCGCCUGUUGGGAAACUUCCAGAGACAUCCCCAGGGAGGGGGUUCAGAGAGCUUCCUGGCCUGUGGACACACGCAGGUGUGGGGAGAGAGGUGCUCCCGGAGAGGCCACGGGAGUUCUGCCCCCUUCCCCACACCUGGCCCUGUGGAUGACCUCCUCUGGCUGGUCCUGAGUCCUGUCCUGUCACCAUCAACCGUGGCCCGUCCAGGAUCCAUUCUGGGACCCCACGUUAUAUCUUGGCCACGGUGGCUGACUGUCCUCCUGCAUGGGGAAGGCCCUAUAUCUUUCCUGAUGGCCCUACAUCUUUCCUGAUCUUUCGUGACCUGAACACUUGAAGAAUAACGAGAGACAGCGUAUCAGCGGGGGACAUGCAGAGAGAGAGGGAGACACCAAGUCAGAAGCAGGCUCCAGGCUCUGAGCUGUCAGCACCGAGCCCGACGCGGGGCUCGAACUCACAGACCUUGAGAUCGUGACCUGAGCCGAAGUCGGUCGCUUAACUGACCGAGUCACCCAGGCACCCCAGGAUUCUUUUUUCUUAUUGGAAUUUUUACCCAUCAGCUGGAUGACAGUGUUCAGCUCUUAAUUGCCCGCGGACGCUUCUCCAGUGAGUGCCUGACAGUUCUGCCUUUCCGGAACUCACACAUGGGGGAGUAAACAGCCUUUAUUUUUGCAUGUUGGGGAGGAAGAAUUUCCUCUGCCAUUCAAGGUCCUCCUGGUUGGACUAAGAAUCAAGUUGACACGAGGCAGAUGAGCAUGGGAAAAUCACGUUUACUUUACUACAUACGGGGAACCCACACAGACACGGAAAUUCCAACGACAGGCAAAAUGAGAGUCGAGAACCUAAGCGUUUCCGAGAACUGUGUUUAUGGCCUUUUAUUGACCAGGAAUGGCCCCUUCAUAUCCGAUGUCGUCAAAUCCAAGAUGCUUUUCAAGGUCAACUCACUCUGUCACUCUUACUGGGUGAAGACUUGCAAAUCAAUCAGAGCAUUAAGUGGAUCUCCAGAAGUUUCACAGCAAUUUAGAAAUGAAACCAAGAUUUAAUACCAGCCUGCUUAAAAAGGUGCCAUGUCGAUGAUGCACGCCGUGCAACACAGAUGGGAAAAAUCCUCAUGCAAGUUAACAACAUGGUCACGUUUUCCUGUAGUUCUGCCGAAACACAAUUUGUGAGAGCUCCCUCCGUUACCGCCAAGAAAAAGCUUGCCAAGUCCUGAUGCAGAAGAUUGUUGAGUGAAAAACAUCAUUCCCCAGCACCGCCAAGCAUGCGCUAAUCUCUUCUCUGCGUCGUCCAAAUUGUGGCUCCAGAUGUUGUCCCUGAUUCAUGGGGUGUUCACGAAAGCUGGCAAGGCCACCAACAAAUGUGUUACAGCUUUUCUGCUGCAGAUCUGAGCUCAUCACCCACAGCCCCUACCUGUGGCUCACCCUGUGGACCCGCCUUCCCCUGUGUGCCAUGUGGCUGCGAUUUCAACUCUGACGGUCGGGGAAUCCGUGCCUUCCACGUGCCUCCACUUAGAGCCACCUGACAGACAUUUAAGUGGCUCAGACGAAGGACACUGAAAAAACAUAGCGAGACGAGGCUGUCUCGGGCGUUCAAAGGUGUUCGGGAUGUGUGUUUUCCAAAAAAGGUCACUUGACAGAUUAGGGGGAAAAUGCAGUAUUUAAGACAGAAAACUUGCCAUUUCAGUGACUGCUGCACCUUGAAAAACAAACAGAGCGACAAAGCUGGCCUCAAGUUCCCAACUUGUUACAGAAGAAUGAUAAUAAUAGCAUAAAACGGAGAACUGAGCACACAGCCCUCUUCGGAUCCUACGUUCGCCUCUCUCUCUGCGGCCGCGGGGCUCGAACUCAAGAACCGCGAGAUCAUGACCUGACUCACAGAUGCUUAACGGAGCGAGCCACCCAGGCACCCCAAGGAGGGCUUUCAACUACACCAUAGUAAUAAGGUCAAUAUUGGGGAAAACAAAGAAAACCAGAGUGUAUUCCCUAUAUUUUAGUUUGCUUUCACAAACCUUAUUCUGGGGCCAAAAGGCCAAAGAACCUGACACUCAUGAUUGCAUCUGGCACAAUUUUCUGUAAAGUUCUGGAAUGUUCCUCCUCUGCUCUCUCAAGGGCGAAAACACAGAUUUUACAACGCUGCUGACUUUCGAAGGAACACGAAAGCCAAGACUUGGCUUCUCUUGCCAUUCCCUGGAGGUGACGAUAGGGAGGAAUCCAUAAACUUCUCCAACAGUAACAUAAACGAGCGAGGCCAAGUAAAUGAACCCAUCAGAAGGAUG